Molecule: non-coding RNA, 31 nt
Filed under: Homo sapiens (human)
Lineage: Eukaryota; Metazoa; Chordata; Mammalia; Primates; Hominidae
Source: RNAcentral
GCAGACACUUUUGGUAGAAUUUGCUUCAGUC